AUACAGAGGGUGCGAGCGUUAAUCGGAAUUACUGGGCGUAAAGCGCGCGUAGGCGGCUACUCAAGUCAGAUGUGAAAUCCCCGGGCUCAACCUGGGAACUGCAUCUGAUACUGGGUAGCUAGAGUUUAGGAGAGGGAAGUAGAAUUUCAGGUGUAGCGGUGAAAUGCAUAGAGAUCUGAAGGAAUACCAGUGGCGAAGGCGGCUUCCUGGCCUAAAACUGACGCUGAGGUGCGAAAGCGUGGGUAGCAAACGGGAUUAGAAACCCCGGUAGUCC
Molecule: ribosomal RNA, 274 nt
Filed under: uncultured bacterium
Lineage: Bacteria
Description: partial 16S ribosomal RNA
Rfam family: Bacterial small subunit ribosomal RNA
Source: RNAcentral